GGCCCCGUGGUGUAGCGGUUUAACAUAUUGCCCUGUCACGGCAAAGAUCGCCGGUUCAAAUCCGGUCGGGGUCGCCA
This 77-nucleotide transfer RNA is filed under the name SAR202 cluster bacterium. RNAcentral describes it as "tRNA-Asp". It matches the Rfam family "tRNA". Rfam says of the family: Transfer RNA (tRNA) molecules are approximately 80 nucleotides in length. The record is from RNAcentral. Lineage: Bacteria; Bacillati; Chloroflexota; Dehalococcoidia.